CCAUCUCAUUGGUGAAUUUGGAGGAGUGGGUGGGAUUAAGGGUAGCUGUGCGGCCAAAGAAAGGAAGCACGAAGCGAGGCAAAGUCUUAGCAGCGGGCGUGACCGUGGCCCGGGGGACCGUUGGGAAGCCGGUACGGGGGCGGGGCUCAGAGGCGGGGCCGGGGCGGGGCGACCGUUGGGACCUGGCAACUGUUGGCCUUGAGCGCCGGGGUCGGGCGGCGGGACAUCGGUGGCCUCGCUACACUCACUUGGCUGGGGAGAUCGGCGCUCCGCCGUUGAAGAAGCAUCUGUAGGGAAUACAGAAGGAAAAUUCAUGAAGAUGUUACAGACCUGGAAGAACAUCACAAGCACUGAGCUGAGUACUGAACCAGAAAGGCGAUAAUGAGGACCAAAAUGGUGUCAGCUUUUCUGGCUUCAUACAUGAGCAGCCAGCUUUAAUGAUGAAAGUGAUCUCAUUAGUGCACUAAAUUACAUAUUGCCAUUUUUUUCACAGGGAAAUCUAGAAGAGGUAGAAUCAACAUGGUUAUUGUUCAUUGAACUGUUUUUUUUCCAAUUUGCAAAAUGGAAAUAAUUCCCAUGGUAAUUUGAAAGAUGAUACAAGGAGACCCCUCUUAAACCUGGGUUUCAUAGCCUGGCACCCGGCACAUUGGUCCACAAUCUUUUGAAUCUGGGCUGUUUGAUGCGGGAACCGGAGGCAGGCCGACUCGAGGAGGCUGAGUAGUUUCUUCUUGCCUAAAUGGUUGGCUCGAUGUAAAUUGGAGAAGAGAAACAGUCCUAACUUUUCAGGAAGGAUCAGCCGCCCUUCGAUAUCACGAUACCAGCCUUGCUGGUUGGACUCUGGGCAUCGGUGAUCUUAGAUCCACUGUCUGUCUUCCGGGGUGUACUUGGGUCGUGGAGGCCAAAGCAGCAUUUCGGGCCGCUAUGUCCGCACACCAGUUCCCCAUAGCUUCUGGAGUCUGGGCAGAUUGGUGACCAGGAACAUGUACUACCGCCACAGCUUGGGGCUUCUGCACCACAGUCAGUAGUCUCUGGAUCUCCGGGAGGUUACGUAACUCCUUUCCUUCCGCUGUAAUGAAACCCCUUUCCCAGUAGAUGGCACCAUGUACAUGGACAGUGCCAAAAGCAUAACGGCUGUCGGUAUAAACAGUCACUCGUUUUCCCUCAGCCCGCUCGAGUGCCUCUGUCAGCGCGAUCAGUUUGGCCUUCUGGGCUGAGGUCCCUGGG
RNAcentral lists this long non-coding RNA (1224 nucleotides) under Castor canadensis (American beaver). RNAcentral describes it as "lncRNA (ENSCCNG00000024531.1)". The record is from RNAcentral. Lineage: Eukaryota; Metazoa; Chordata; Mammalia; Rodentia; Castoridae.